GAUGAACGCUGGCGGCGUGCCUAAUACAUGCAAGUCGAGCGAACGGACGAGAAGCUUGCUUCUCUGAUGUUAGCGGCGGACGGGUGAGUAACACGUGGAUAACCUACCUAUAAGACUGGGAUAACUUCGGGAAACCGGAGCUAAUACCGGAUGAUAUUUUGAACCGCAUGGUUCAAAAGUGAAAGACGGUCUUGCUGUCACUUAUAGAUGGAUCCGCGCUGCAUUAGCUAGUUGGUAAGGUAACGGCUUACCAAGGCAACGAUGCAUAGCCGACCUGAGAGGGUGAUCGGCCACACUGGAACUGAGACACGGUCCAGACUCCUACGGGAGGCAGCAGUAGGGAAUCUUCCGCAGUGGGCGAAAGCCUGACGGAGCAACGCCGAGUGAGUGAUGAAGGUCUUCGGAUCGUAAAACGCUGUUAUUAGGGAAGAACAUAUGUGUAAGUAACUGUGCACAUCUUGACGGUACCUAAUCAGAAAGCCACGGCUAACUACGU
This 496-nucleotide ribosomal RNA is filed under the name uncultured bacterium. RNAcentral's name for it is "partial 16S ribosomal RNA". It matches the Rfam family "Bacterial small subunit ribosomal RNA", at positions 28 to 506 of the family's 1533-position model. The record is from RNAcentral.